Molecule: unclassified non-coding RNA, 320 nt
Filed under: Hevea brasiliensis (rubber tree)
Lineage: Eukaryota; Viridiplantae; Streptophyta; Magnoliopsida; Malpighiales; Euphorbiaceae
Source: RNAcentral
AAACUUUGAAACCACCCAUAGCCCCCACAUCCAAAUCGCUGUGCCAUCUCCUCCCAUGCAACUUCAAAUUCAUCAAUUUUAAGAGAGCCAUACACUGUAUUAUACAGUACCUCAUGGAAUACUUCUGAUUCCCCCACUUCCCCUACUGAAUUGACAAUGCUGUCCAAAAUAAUUGACAAGUUAAGCCUAUGGUUAGCCCGGGGAAAUAUCUCAGAUAUUGCAUUUUGCAAGGCUUUGCAGCGAUCUGUGAUGAUAGUUUGUGGAGGGCGUCCUGACAUACACGAUAGCCAUGCUCUCAGUAACCAAACAUAUGUCUCAAA